Molecule: ribosomal RNA, 588 nt
Filed under: uncultured bacterium
Lineage: Bacteria
Description: bacterial SSU rRNA
Rfam family: Bacterial small subunit ribosomal RNA
Source: RNAcentral
CCUACGGGAGGCAGCAGUAGGGAAUCUUCCGCAAUGGACGAAAGUCUGACGGAGCAACGCCGCGUGAACGAUGAAGGCCUUCGGGUCGUAAAGUUCUGUUGUUAGGGAAGAACAAGUGUUAGUUGAAUAAGCUGGCACCUUGACGGUACCUAACCAGAAAGCCACGGCUAACUACGUGCCAGCAGCCGCGGUAAUACGUAGGUGGCAAGCGUUGUCCGGAAUUAUUGGGCGUAAAGCGCGCGCAGGCGGUUUCUUAAGUCUGAUGUGAAAGCCCCCGGCUCAACCGGGGAGGGUCAUUGGAAACUGGGAAACUUGAGUGCAGAAGAGGAAAGUGGAAUUCCAAGUGUAGCGGUGAAAUGCGUAGAGAUUUGGAGGAACACCAGUGGCGAAGGCGACUUUCUGGUCUGUAACUGACGCUGAGGCGCGAAAGCGUGGGGAGCAAACAGGAUUAGAUACCCUGGUAGUCCACGCUGUAAACGAUGAGUGCUAAGUGUUAGAGGGUUUCCGCCCUUUAGUGCUGAAGUUAACGCAUUAAGCACUCCGCCUGGGGAGUACGGUCGCAAGACUGAAACUCAAAUGAAUUGACGG